RNAcentral lists this long non-coding RNA (610 nucleotides) under Nicotiana benthamiana. RNAcentral's name for it is "long non-coding RNA (NBEN_LNC014687)". Lineage: Eukaryota; Viridiplantae; Streptophyta; Magnoliopsida; Solanales; Solanaceae. The record is from RNAcentral.
UUUACUGUAACUUAUCUUCUAAUGGAUAUUGAGUGACAUUUUCAUUUUCAAUCUUUUUGGAGAGGGAAGCCUCUUGUUAGUAGUCAAUUUUUUAAUCACAUCGAGGAGGCUAACAAGAACUUGUUGAGGCUAUUGGUUUUAGUUUCAGUUGAUUCAUCUGUGAGGCAUAGAUAUAACUGAGCUGUCCAUUCAGUACAAGAGUGUCGACUUUCUUUUUCUGAUUCUUUACUAAAACCUCCUCCUGAAACAGUCGUUGAAAUUUGAGUUGUCUCCAUUUCUGCGUCAUGUAUAGCAUGUCAACAACAACAACAACCCAGUAUAAUCCCACUUAGUGGGGUCUGGGGAGGGUAGUGUGUACGCAGAACUUAUCCCUACCCCUGGGUAGAGAGGCUGUUUCCAAAUAGACCCCCGGCAUCCUUCCCUCCAAUAACUUCCCACCUUGCUCUUGGGGAUAUCGAACUCACAACCUCUCGGUUGGAAGUGGGGGUUGCUUACCAUCAUACCUUUGGGUAGAGAGGCUGUUUCCAAAUAGACCCCCAGCAUCCUUCCUCCAAGAACUUCCCACCUUGCUCUUGGGAGACUCGAACUCAUAACCUCUUGGUUGGAAGUG